UACGUAGGGUGCAAGCAUUAAUCGGAUUUAUUGGGCGUAAAGGGCGCGUAGGCGGGGAUGUAAGUCAGAUGUGAAAUCCUGGGGCUCAACCUCAGAACAGCAUUUGAAACUACAUCUCUAGAGGGUAGGCGGAGAAAACGGAAUUCCACAAGUAGCGGUGAAAUGCGUAGAUAUGUGGAAGAACACCAGUGGCGAAGGCGGUUUUCUAGCUUAUACCUGACGCUAAUGCGCGAAAGCAAGGGGAGCAAACAGG
Molecule: ribosomal RNA, 253 nt
Filed under: uncultured bacterium
Lineage: Bacteria
Description: partial 16S ribosomal RNA
Rfam family: Bacterial small subunit ribosomal RNA
Source: RNAcentral